Pluteus cervinus is the source of this 94-nucleotide non-coding RNA. Lineage: Eukaryota; Fungi; Basidiomycota; Agaricomycetes; Agaricales; Pluteaceae. The record is from the annotation of a GenBank genome assembly.
GCCCGCCUAGCUCAAUCGGAUAGAGCGUCAGACUCUUAGGUGGGCUUCGUCCCGGGCGAUCUGAAGGCUGCGAGUUCGACCCUCGCGGUGGGCU